Molecule: transfer RNA, 78 nt
Filed under: Crocinitomicaceae bacterium
Lineage: Bacteria; Pseudomonadati; Bacteroidota; Flavobacteriia; Flavobacteriales; Crocinitomicaceae
Description: tRNA-Pro
Rfam family: tRNA
About the family: Transfer RNA (tRNA) molecules are approximately 80 nucleotides in length. Their secondary structure includes four short double-helical elements and three loops (D, anti-codon, and T loops). Further hydrogen bonds mediate the characteristic L-shaped molecular structure. tRNAs have two regions of fundamental functional importance: the anti-codon, which is responsible for specific mRNA codon recognition, and the 3' end, to which the tRNAs corresponding amino acid is attached (by aminoacyl-tRNA synthetases). tRNAs cope with the degeneracy of the genetic code in two manners: having more than one tRNA (with a specific anti-codon) for a particular amino acid; and 'wobble' base-pairing, i.e. permitting non-standard base-pairing at the 3rd anti-codon position.
Source: RNAcentral
CGGGAAUUAGCUCAGUUUGGUAGCAGCGCUUGGUUUGGGACCAAGAGGUCGAAGGUUCAAAUCCUUCAUUCCCGACCA